GUUGUAAUCUGUACCCUAAAAGAGAUUUGAUUCACUUAAUUUCUCUCAUCUUCCGAUCGAUUUCCUAAAGUUAAUGGCGGUCCUAAGCUGAUGAAGAUGCUUUUCGACGAUUUUGGUCUCCAAUGAUCGAUGUGUCUUUUCAACGAUUUUGUUCUUCGGCGAGUCAAUGCAGUUUUUGGUGAGUUCGUUCUCCGACAAUUAACAGGGCUUUCAGGCGAGUGUGUUCUCCGGCAAUCGCCGGGGCUUUCUGAUGAGUUCGUUCUCCGGCAAUCGACAAGGCUGAUUUUCUUGUUUAUUUGUUUCUCAUAUGAUCUUUGAUUUAAAUUUUACAUUAUACCAUUUGGACUUCAUUGUUCCACUAACCUAGUAGUUAGUUUUGCUGGAACAUAAAGCAUAGAUUGGAGAUGAGUAUGGGGUUUACGAAGUGCAUGUAAAGUUGGCUCUUCAAUUAAGAGACAUUAAGUUUUGUAAGAGUUGAUGUGUUUUUCUUUUCCUGUUGAGAGUGUUCUUUUUGUAUCUAGUCUUAUAGUCUCUGUAGUUGUGGCUUGUUUGGGAGCUUCUCAUUGACAGUCUUAAAUGGUGGAUGAUGGUAAUGCGAGCUGCUUAUUUUGCUAUCUAGUCUCCUACCGAAUCCAAAGCUGAGACACUAGUGCUAUCUAUAUGGUAUGUUUGAAAUUUGCUUCCUAUACUGAUUUCAUUAGAAAAUUAUGUGAAGACUAGAAAGAAAAUUAUCCUGAUUCCAUUUUCUACUUCUAGUAGAUAAGUAAAAAAAGGAAUCAAACUCCAACCAUUCCUUUCUAAGACAUCAUCUUUUCUUUCUAUAAUAUGGAUUAGUAAGAGUGCUGGUUUGUUAUACACAUUUGGUGUUUGUUAUACACUUGCAUUUCCUCCAUGUUUCCCUGUUCUAUAGACAACCUACAUUAAAUCAAAUCACAUAAAAAAAGUUGAAUAAAUUAUUGUUGGAAUCUAACAAAAGGGAAAUUUCCAUCAAACCACAAGAUUAUAUAUGAUAUGCUUUCAAUCUAAACCCCUGUAAGACCCUAAACCACAAUAUUGAUCCCCAUUGCCUCACAGCACAACCAUCUCCAAACACCACCAACCGAUCAUCAAAAUGUGGCUCAACUGCUUCUCCUUUGUUUGAUCUUAUUAAAUGCUUGUCUGGGUCUAGCUCAAACUAACCAAAAAGUUCAGACCAUAGUUUGGUCUAGCUCAGAACCAUUAUCAAACCACUCACUAGUCUCAAGUCCAUAUAAAACUAAAACAGAUACAAUCAGAAAGCUAGGAAAGCAACUUCUCAUACCAACUUCUUUAUUUUCUUUCCAUUAAACUAAAACUUGUAGGGAGUGGCUUUUUUACAAGUAAAAUAUCACUUCUGAUUUGCU
This is a long non-coding RNA of Humulus lupulus (European hop), 1382 nucleotides long. RefSeq lists it as uncharacterized. The record is from RefSeq and is a predicted model, not a curated record. The transcript is spliced from 2 exons. Lineage: Eukaryota; Viridiplantae; Streptophyta; Magnoliopsida; Rosales; Cannabaceae.